RNAcentral lists this ribosomal RNA (461 nucleotides) under uncultured bacterium. RNAcentral describes it as "partial 16S ribosomal RNA". It matches the Rfam family "Bacterial small subunit ribosomal RNA", at positions 28 to 506 of the family's 1533-position model. The record is from RNAcentral.
GACGAACGCUGGCGGCGUGCUUAACACAUGCAAGUCGAGCGGAAAGGCCCUUCGGGGUACUCGAGCGGCGAACGGGUGAGUAACACGUGAGUAACCUGCCCUAGGCUUUGGGAUAACCCCGGGAAACCGGGGCUAAUACCGGAUAUGACCUGGUGCCGCAUGGUGUUGGGUGGAAAGUUUUUUCGGCCUGGGAUGGGCUCGCGGCCUAUCAGCUUGUUGGUGGGGUGAUGGCCUACCAAGGCGAUGACGGGUAGCCGGCCUGAGAGGGCGACCGGCCACACUGGGACUGAGACACGGCCCAGACUCCUACGGGAGGCAGGAGUGGGGAAUAUUGAACAAUGGGCGGAAGCCUGAUGCAGCGACGCCGUGUGAGGGAUGAAGGCAUUCGGGUUGUAAACCUCUUUCAGCAGGGACGAAGCGUGAGUGACGGUACCUGCAGAAGAAGCGCCGGCCAACUACGU